RNAcentral lists this ribosomal RNA (402 nucleotides) under Salpingoeca fusiformis. RNAcentral's name for it is "partial small subunit ribosomal RNA". It matches the Rfam family "Eukaryotic small subunit ribosomal RNA", at positions 30 to 432 of the family's 1831-position model. Lineage: Eukaryota; Choanoflagellata; Craspedida; Salpingoecidae. The record is from RNAcentral.
GCUUGUCUCAAAGAUUAAGCCAUGCAUGUGUUAGUAUAAACGCCUUUAUACUGUGAAACUGCGAACGGCUCAUUAUAUCAGUUAUAGUUUAUUUGAUACUUUUCGACUAUUGGAUAACCGUAGUAAUUCUAGAGCUAAUACAUGCGAAAAGACCCGACUUUUGGAAGGGUUGUAUUUAUUAGAUACAAAACCAAUACGGAGCAAUCCGUUUCUUGGUGAUUCAUAAUAACUUUGCGGAUCGCAUGGCCUUGUGCCGGCGAUGAAUCAUUCAAAUUUCUGCCCUAUCAACUUUCGAUGGUAAGGUAUUGGCCUACCAUGGUUACCACGGGUAACGGGGAAUUAGGGUUCGGUUCCGGAGAGGGGGCCUGAGAAAUGGCCACCACAUCCAAGGAAGGCAGCAGG